RNAcentral lists this long non-coding RNA (14032 nucleotides) under Linum usitatissimum (flax). RNAcentral describes it as "long non-coding RNA (LUSI_LNC004913)". Lineage: Eukaryota; Viridiplantae; Streptophyta; Magnoliopsida; Malpighiales; Linaceae. The record is from RNAcentral.
ACAAACCGAACCACUUCCACUCGAUAAUAGCAUCAGCCUAGGAUUCUGCUCCAUGAAAAAACCAUUUCGUCCAGCGAUCCUAACUCUCACUUUCUGCUGCAGCUUCAACGACGUUCCGGAGAUAAUGAAGCAGAUGCCACCACUUCCAGUGAAGUUGAACGAAGAGCUGGCGAACACCAUCCUUCCCCGAACAAACAUCAACUAACCGCGGCCCAAAGGAUCCGACCUGCUCGAAUGAAUUGGUUUGGAGACAAGCCCCAAAUCCAUCCGUGAGCCUUGAGUCGGUGUAAAAAAACUAAUUUGUAGUGGUUCUUUUAGUCAUAUACCUUGUUUUUGGUUUUGAAAGUGAAAGCAGUUUUGCUUGGUAGGAAGAAUCUCAGAAAUGUUUUGUUGGUGUUGUAAUAGAUUAUAGACAAUAAGCAACUUGUGAAUUGUGAUGUUGCUGUGAGUAACGUUAUAAGGUUUAGUUAGAAUGGAUGGAGAGGGUCUAGGCGACUGAGGUUCCUAAAGUAACCAAGGGUGCACCUAUCAACAGUAGGCAACUGAGGCUUCUUUGCAAGCGGACUUGUUGAAGACCCUCCAACAAACCAAGGAAUGAUCAAGUUUUGAAGUUUCUAUUCUCUUUUCCAAUCUUGCAAAGAAUGGUGUAGAUGUAGUUGGACUUGUUGAACCUCGAGUCAUCAAUGAAAAGGCUGAUGCACUUUUUUGCCGCUUUAUUCCCUGGUUGGCUAGGGGAGUUCCUUUCUAUGGUACACUGGCUUAUGCGGCUAAUGACCUUGGUAAUCAGCUCUUUUCUACUGCCGGUAUGGAGGAUUUUCAUAGGUGUGUUAGUAAUUUUACUUGCGGGCCUUAUUUUACUUGGAUUGACAUGAAAUUGCUAUAUCUCAGAGAGCCAUUUCUCUCGGAUCUAUAACAGUCGAUCCAAAGGUCAAGAAUCAUUUUAGCCAAUUUCAAUUUGACGGUUGAAAUUUUGUUAGGGGUAUAACGGGAAUUAAAAAUAUUCUCUCUCUUUCGACUUUUCUUUCUCUCUCCUCUCUCUCUACUGUUCUCGCGUAAACUGGAUAUAAUUGUAACACCCCAACAACACCAAACUAGAAAUCAUAUUGUUUACAUGAAAUAACGGAAACUUUUAGGGCUGUUACGCUCCAUAUGACGUUACCAAAAAAUGACCAAAUAACCCAUCUAAUUCUUUUCUUAAAUCAAUGGCCCUGCAUUGUUAAAAAUCCAAUAUUAAUCACUGUUAAAAGCAUUGCAUGUUGACUCGUGAAAUAUAUAGAUAUGUUCAUUUCGUACAAACCACAAUAGGAAUCCACAAGGAUACAAAAUAGCUGAAAAGUCAUUGACUCCACCAAUAUAAAUGGAGUUGUCAAAUACGUUGCCUUUAUGGCCAUUACACAUCAUAACACAAUCUAACACACUUUAAACACACAUGACAUAUGCAUACGACGAAAGAUAUAUAAAUCUUAAAAUCCAUUUAAAAUAGUUGAGUGUCAAGACACAUUCUUUCGAUUCUACAUGGCAUCAUCGCCACGAUCGCCCAUCGAUGAUCCAAUCCUUGUUGCCAUGAUGCUUAGCUGUAGAAUCUCAGUGUGUACCGGUUCCACCUACUGUCCGUCUGAGGAAAAAUAAGGGUCAGUGCUAAUCACUGAGCGAGGACCCUCAGCCCUGAGUCACUCUAAGGUGCAUUCAAUCAUAUAACAUUUAUUCCCAACAUGAAACACACGUGGUUACUCUUAGGACACUAGCUCUUUAUUUCAUAUUUUAUUUGGGAUCCCGACACGUGUAUGCUGGAGGAUCCACCGGUCCCAUUCACUUCUAUACCUGCUUCCAUUCACUCUUAUACUUGCUCCCAUCCCCUCUCUACUUGCCACACUAUCUUUAUCUCUAUACCCGAAUCAAGUUCUUCCCCUCUGCCUCAAUUUCGUUUCCUACCCUCACCACUCAUAAAUCCCCCCUUCCCUUUUCUCCUAACCACUCCAGUCACCACUCACAUAUCACAUCUUCCAUUUUCCCUUUGUAUUUUAGUGAAGCAGAGGCAUAUAUACACCAUAUAUGAGAUGUUCAUCAUGUAUUGGAUUGUUUAUGGCAUCAUGUAUUAUAUUAGGUCUAACGAUAUUUUAGUACGACUGGUGUAAGAUGUUACAACUCUUCCCUCCUUAAAAAUAUUUCAUCCUCGAAAUUCAGACUCUAUAAAUGACCUCUAGCCCUCUUAUUGUGUCUGAACUAUUUUGGUGUUUGCCAUCUACCUAACUCAAACUAUCAUGCAAGUAGGUAACAAAUAAGGUUUGCAUGUUUUAGGUUUUAAGAUAUAUAUACUAGGUGACCAUUAAAUAGACAUAUCAAAUAGCAUGUAAUAAUAAAUCAACCUGGUAGAUAUGCCCCAAUAAGGUCAGGGUAUUUCUCUUGCAUACUCGCUUCAGUUUUCCAUGUAGUAGAUUCACUCUCAUGAUUCUGCCACACCACCUUAAUCAUUCGGAUUUGCUUACUUCUUAAAAUUUGAAUCUACAGAUCAACAAUCUUUACUAGCACCUCCUGAUACGCCAAAUCUUCUUUCGGCUCCACCUCAUCCGGCCUGAUCACAUGGGAUGGGUCCACAUGAUACAUCUUGAGCAUACUCACAUGAAACACAUUAUGGAUUCGGUCCAAAUUCCUUGGCAGAGGUAAGAUGUAUGCAACAGACCCUACUUUACCGAUAAUGUCAUAAGGUCUGAUGUAUCUUGGGGCUAACUUUCCUUUCCUCCCAAACCUCAUCACACCCUUCCAAAAAGAGACCUUAAGGGAAACCUUUUCAUCAACCUCAUAAGUUACCUCCCUAGCUCGACGAUCCGCAUACUGCUUUUGGCGAUCCUGAGCCACUCUAAGUCUUUUCCGAAUUACCUUCACCUUAUCAGAUGUUUCUUGUACCAAUUGGGGUCCCGUCUUUCUCCUUCCUCAUCACAACAUAACGGAGUCCUACACUUUCGCUCAUACAAUGCCUCAUAUAGAGCGGCACCGAGGCUGAUAUUGUAAGAGUUAUUCUAAGAAAAUUCCACAAGAGGUAAUAGCCUGGUCCAUGGCGUUUCAAACUCAUUUACACAUGUCCAUAGUACCUCCUCAAGGGUAAAUAUCGUCCUCUCUGACUGCCCAUCUGUUUGCGGAUGAUAAGCUGUAGAGAAGUUCAACCUUGUCCCCAAUGCUUAAUACAAAAUUUUCCAGAAGUGCGACUGAAAGCUGGGAUCUCGAUUGGAAACAAUGGAGAGUGGAACUCCAUAAAGCCGCAUUAUAUGCUCUACAUAUAGUCGUGCUAACAUUUCAUUGUUGGGCUUGAACUUGAUCGGUAUGAAGUGAGCUACCUUAGUUAUUCUAUCCACAAUUACCCAUACUGCAUCCUUCCCUUCUUUUGUUGGAGGUAACCCGCUCAUGAAAUCCAUAGUAAUAUGCUAAAAUCCCACUCUGAAUUGGUAACGACUGCAGCUUACCCAUCGGUGCCUGAUGCUCUACCUUUGUCUUUUGGCAUAUUAGGCAAGUCAAUACAUGUCCAGCUGCCUCUCUCUUCAUUCCCGGCCACAAAAAAUGUGGUUUGUUGGUUUGGUACAUUUUUUCGGCCCUGGAUGCAUGUCAUACAUGGAAUAAUUUACCUCGUCCAAUAUCUCUUUCCGUAAGCUAUCCACAUAUGGGACACACACUCGUCCUUUCAUCUUCAGCAAGCCAUUGGAUAUCUCAAACUGAUCUUUGUUUCCUUCUUCUACCUCGUUUAUGAUCUUUUGAAUUUUGGGAUCCUCUCUUUGUUUUUCCCUUAUUAGAUCAUGAAGUAGGGGUCUAAUAGACAAUCAAGUCAACGUUGCCACCUCAUUCAUUUUCAUGUCCACCCUUAAGGCUCAUAGACCCACCAAAUUAGGAAGUCUUUUUUUUUCUGCUCAAUGCAUAUGCUAUCACAUUAGCUUUGCCAGGAUGAUAUUUUAUAGUGAAAUCGUAGUCGUUUAGGAGCUUAAUCCACCUCCUCUCUCGGGUUUUUAAUUCUUUAUGGCCCAUCAGAUAUUUUAAGCUCUUAUGAUCCGUCAUAAUCUUAAAUGUUUCACCGUAAAGGUAGUGUCUCCAUAUCUUCAAAGCAAAUACCACUGCCGCCUGUUCUAGAUUAUGGGUAGGAUAAUUCACUUUGUGUGGUCAUAAUUGCCUUGAUGCGUAGGCAAUCACCUUCUCAUCCUGCAUUAGCGCACAACCCAUACCCCAAUGAGAUGCAUCAAUGUACACCACAUACUCUCCCUUGGUAGUCGGUAGGGUGAGUACAGGUGUGGUAGUGAGUCUAGUCUUCAACUCUUCAGAACUUGCUUUGCACGUCUCAUUCCAAUUAUAAGGUGUGUCCUUUCUUAGCAGCUUUGUCAAUGGCGUAGCAAUAUUUGAGAAUCCUUCCACAAACCUUCUGUAGUAUCUUGCCAUGCCCAUGAAGCUUCGUAACUCGGACACAUUAGUGGGUGGCUUUCAUUCAAGCACAACUUCAAUUUUUCUUGAAUCGACCUCAAUUCCCUUUCCAGAUAUUAGGUGGCCCAAGAAUAAAACUUCCUUCAACCAAAAAUCACAUUUUGAAAACUUUACAUAUAGCUUCUUCUCCCUUAAAACAUUCAGGACCAUUAUGAGAUGUUCGACGUGCUCUUCCUUAUCCUUUGAGUAUAUCAGAAUUUCGUCAAUGAAUACUAUCACAAAUUUAUCAAGGAAUUCACGGAACACCUUGUUCAUAAGGGCCAUAAAUGUUGCUGGUGCAUUUAUCAAUCCGAAUGACAUAACCAAGUACUCAUAAUAUCCAUAACGAGUAUGAAAAUGCGGUCUUAGGGAUGGCCGAUUCCGAAACUCUCAAUUGAUGGUAGCCUGAUCUUAGGUCACUCUUUGAAAAUACGAAUGCACCCUGAAGUUGGUCAAAUAAGUCGUCAAUCCUUGGUACAAGAUACCUUUUUUUAACUGUUGCUUGGUUCAACCGAUGGUAGUCUAUACACAUCCUCAUUGACCCGUCCUUCUUUUCACAAAAAGUACAGGUGCACCCUAGGGUGAGACGCUUGGCCUUAUAAAUCCCUUGUCAUAAGUUUUUGUAGCUGCUUUUUCAACUCUUCCAACUCUUCUAGUGCCAUUCGAUAGGGUGCUUUUGUAAUAGGUGCAGUGCCUGAUACAAAUUUGAUGUCAAACUCGGUCUCUCUCGCAGGAGGAAGUGUUGAAAAUUCUUCUGGAAACACAUCCAAGAACUCCUUGACCACCUGCACAUCCUCCAUCUUAUCUGUCUUAUCUACCGUCACAUGUGCAAGAUAGGCUUCACAUCCACCACGAAUAAGUUUGAAAGCUUGCAUGGCUGACAAGAACGGAGACCCAUCUCGUUCAUUUCUUUGGAUACCCCUAAACACCACUUCCCCUAUUUCAGGAGUACUAUACCUAACUUCCUUCUUCUGAUGAACCACCGCCGCCCCAUGUUGAGAUAGCUAGUCCAUUCCAAAGAUUAUAUCAAAUUCAUCCAAUAGUAUCAAGAUCAAGAUUUCCAUUAGGUAGACUCCCUCAAUACUUAUGGGGACGUUCCCAAUACUCGAACUUGCAACUAAGGUUUUUCCAAGCGGGGUCCUAACCACAAAGCAAUACCCCAACUCUUCAGGUUCUACUUUCAACAUCCGUGCAGACUGACAUGAAAUAAAGGAAUGCAUAGAACCAGUAUCAAAUAAGGCAUACAAGGUACAUCCAAGGAUGGAGAGUUUACCAGUAACGACGUCUGCCUAUGCUUCCUUAUGUGUCAUAGCAUAAACACGACCCUGGGCUUGUCCUCCGGUAUGCAUGACUCUGAUGGAUUGAGACCGACCACCUAAUGGUUGUGCAUUAGCUCCAGUGACUCUCCCUCUUUGAGAGCCUCUGCCUCCUUGAAAGCCAUCUCCAUGACCUCCCCUAAAUCCACUCCUAGUUGGAGAUCGAUUCGCUGAACAGAUACCUCAGAUGGCGCCUGUCUAACCAUUAAUGGGAAGUUGAUAACCCGAUGCCCUAGUUCACCGCACUUGAAGCACCCUCCUGAAAGAAAUCUGCAUACUCCUGGGUGCCUCUGUCCAAAAUGUUAACAAACUGGGUUUUGCAUAGUUGUGUAACUCGUCUGUUGGUGUGAUACUGUCUGGGCAGAUCUCUAAUACGUUAUCCCACUAGACCCCUUCUUCGUCAACAAUCCCUAGGCAGAGUGGACCUGUGUCUAACUCACCGCCUUCCUUUUCCUAUCUUCACUCUUUGCUUUCCAUUCCACCUUCCCCGGGUUAUCCAAGUGUUCUGCACUAAAAGCUGCCUCUUUGAUGGUUGUCAUACUAGUUAUGUCAGAACUUGCUAUCCCUUUCUGAAUGUUUGUUCGAAAACCUGUCGAAAAACGUUUCUUCUUCAUUGUUUCAUGCUCUGUUGGAAUAGUAAGAUGCCGCAUUGAUAGCUCGAUGAACAAAAUAUGAUAAUUAAUAACUUUCAUAUCUCCCUACUUUAGAGACGCAAACUCCGACGUCUUGUCCUCCUUCCAGUGCUUGGGAAUGAACUCGGCAACAAAUCUCCUUUUUAACUCUUUCAAGCCAAUCAUAAAGGGAUCCUCCUCAUCAAUUGUCAUAGCUUCCCACCAUGACCUAGCAUGGCCUCGAAGCGAGAAAACUGAGUAGCGAAGCCGAUCAUCAGGUGUUGCCCUCAGAUGACCAAACACCGCUUUCAUGUCACAAAGCCAGUCGACGACGAACUGAGGAUAUGCACUUUCCCCCUAAAAAAUCCUUCCGCCUAAAUCUUGCAUCUUUUAUAAUCUAAAACAGCUGGUGACGGGUCUACUCGAACAUUUCGACCACGCCUACCACUCCCACUACUCCAGUGCACACUACAAGAAGAAUGAUCUUUUUAAUCAUCCUUUUCGAGAAAACUUUUGAUAAUCAGAAAUUUCAUUCACUUAAAAACAUUUUUUUAAAGCUCUUUUCAAAUCAUGAUGCAUGUAUGCGACUAAAAAUGCAUAUCACAAGACCCGACCACUCGAUCGCCUAGUGCAAGUACGGGUAUGGAAUACCUGCCCUCUUUUGGGGUUCGCGACGUCCCAAGAGAGUAAGAUAACAUACCUAUAAUGCUGAAGAAAACCGGCUCUGAUACCAACUUGUAACACCCCAACCACACCAAACUAGAAAUCAUAUUAUUUACUUGAAAUAACAUAUACUUUUCAGGGUGUUACGCUCCUCAUAACGUUACCAAAAACAUGACCGAAUAACCCAUUUAAUUCUUUUCUUAAAUCAAUGGCCCUGCAUUGUUAAAAAUCCAAUACUAAUCACUGUUAAAAGCAUUGCACGUUGACUCGUGAAAUAUAUAGAUAUGUUCAUUUCAUACAAACCACAAUAGGAACUCAUAAGGAUACAAAAUAGCUGAAAAGUCAUUGACUCCACCAAUAUAAACGGAGUUGUCAAAUACGUUGCCUUUAUGACCAUUACAGACUUUAAACAUAGGACAUAUGCUCACAUUCCCUCUUACUUGCCCCACUAUUUUUCUCUCUAUACAUGAAUCAAGUUCUUCCCCUCUGCCCCAGUUUCGUUUCCUACCCUCACCACUCACAAAUCCCCUCCUCCCUUUUUUCCUAACCAUUCUAGUAUUCAUCAAUAAAAAAUGAAUAACAUAUUUGUAAAGUGUAUAUAUCACUAAUAUAAAAGAGUGGUAAAAUGAACUUAAUGAUGAUAAAUUCUACUACUUGUAAGGUUGACGGAACAACGACAUAACAAGCCCGUAAAAUGGUCGUAUUAGCGACAUAACAUGCUCGUACAAUGACCACUCUAAUGUGAUUUUUGUUCCGAAACUACCCCAUUCAACUCUAUUCGUUUAACUUAUUUUCAACCGUGAGAUGAACGUUGACUUAAAAAUAACCUAAUCCGAUCUAAUGUGAUUUCUGUCGGGACAACAUCUGACGGCCUCCCGUAACCGUAGCCGGUCAAUCAAUCUUGGCUGAGUAGUUUUACUGAGAAGUUCUGUUAAUCUGAGUAAUUAUGACAAACCUGGGAAAUAAAACAGAAUCUGGCCAAUGAAUAAUUUGAUACCUACUCUUAAUAAAAAAUUAAGAUAGAAUUAACCCAUAUUUAAUGCUUCCUUAUCCAAGAAACCUCGAGCCAAUGAAACUUUUUAUAAGUAAUUGAAACUCGAGUAACUGACCAACUACAUGCAUUCUGCCCAAAUAGAAAAUAAACAAUUUCCUCGCCGGUCUGAGUUUCGUAACCGUCCGUUGCAUGCUCAACACUUGACAGUCAGUCAGCUUGGCUUUUCUUUCUGCGAUAUCAGCACUCGAAUUCCGAAGCGCCGAAUUGUUCUGCAUUCGUUGCGAGGCGAGGUAGUGCAAUUGUCAGUCGAAGGUGGAAGGAAACCGUGGAUGUGUGGGUUUGGGGGUUUUGAAAGGGCUUUUUGAAUGGCGAAUCCAUCGGGGAAGCAACUUCAAAAUCGUAAUCAGGAUGCUCCGACUAGUAAUAACAACAAUAACAACAAUGAUUCUUCUUCUUCACUCAACGGGACCAAUCCGGCUAACGGAUAUCUGGAGAGUUCGAAUCCCACCGUCGCUGCUUUGAAGCAUAACCCUGGCAUCUCUAACGAUUGGACUCCGGAAGAGCAGUCGAUACUAGAGGAUGGCCUUGCCAAGUGAGAUUUCUUGUUCUCUGUUUGCUUGUUUGCCUGAAAUCUUUUGGAAUUCUGUUGGUUGAACUGUUUUGCUUGCUUGCUUGCUGAAUUAUGCAUCCACAACGUACAACUCUGCAGCAUGUUCUAAUUUGCCUCGCUGUCUAAGGAAUGUAAAUUGAUUUUUAGUUCAAUUACCUUAGCUGCUUCACCAAUAUCCUUUUGGAUUUAGCUCUUUGUCUCCCUGUUGCUACAGGUAUGCAUCGGAGUCCAACAUAGGCCGUUAUUCAAAGAUUGCUAAACAGCUCCCGUGUAAGACAGUUCGAGAUGUUGCUCUGCGUUGCAGAUGGAUGUCGGUAUGAUUCUUGUUUUCAAUCACCUUCAAUUCUUAUCCUUAUUUUAUUUUGGCUUCAUUAGACUUUGAGACUUGCUUCGCGAAUGUUGUAAACAUGUUUUGUCGAAGAGGUGAGGCUAAUGUUCUUUGACAUGGUGCUGUCUGAUUCAAAAGUUUUUUCUUCAUUUAGUUCAGACUGAUCUAUUUCUUGGUGGUGCAGAAAAAGGAAUCUAGCAAGAAAAGGAAGGAGGAAAACGUAAGAAGAGGCAAGGAUAAGAAGGUAUGAUUUUCUUUCUCUGUCGGGUUUGUUUGCAAAUACAAGGAAGGCGGAAAAUCCAGCUCUGUUUCUUUUCUGUAUUAGGAUUAAGCUUGAUGGGCAGUUAGUAUGAUCUUUUCGGGAAAUUAGCGUAAAAGGACAUUAUGCACGUUCUUCUUCGAUUGAGUCCCAAUUGGGUUCUGGAUAUGUUUUCAUUUGCAAAACUAUGAUGCCUACUGCUAGAAUCUGGAAGAUGAAGUCUUAAGGUGAUUGGUAAUAUUUCUUCUGUUGGCUGUAAUGAAAUUUACUGUAAUGAAAUUUAUCGAUUGUUGUUUAACAGGAAAAACUUACUGAUGCAUCAACAAAGCCAUCUUCUACCGUUGUCCGCCCUAAUGCUCCUGCAUAUGCAAAUACAGUGGCUCCUACUGACUAUGAUGAUGGCAUCUCUUUUAAAGGUUGUUAAAUGCUCCUACCAUGUUACAAUUGCGUCUGCUAUUGCUGACUCACUUUCUCAUAGUUGGAGACGUACUUAGGAUGAUAUAAUUAUAUAACUAUUGAACUUAAAAUAGCGGGUUUUCCCUUGCAUGGGUUGAUAAUGGAGACUGUCAACGGUAAUUUCAUACUCUUGUUAGUUAUGGGAAGGUAUUGAUGAAUUGGCUAGAACACGGUAGGUUUUUGCUAGAAUCCCUCUCUUCUCAUUUUAUUGAUUCGCAUGAUUUACAUAGGGAGGAUAUAUAUAAGCCAAGUUAGGAGAGAUAUAUCUUAACUGAAAUAUAUCAUAAAUCAAAUCUUUCUAUAAUUAGACUAGGAAUUACCUGUUACCGCUAACUAUUAUUAUAUGCUAACAAAUAUCUUUUAACACUCCCCCCUCAAGUUUGGUGUAGAUGUUAAUUAACUUAAGCUUGGCCAUUAGAGUCUUGAACAUGUAUCUGGACAAGGCCUUAGUUAACACAUCUGCAGUUUACUGCGUCGAAGGCUCAUACUCCACCGAAUAACUCCAACAUUAACAUUGUCUGUGAUAAAUUGUUGAUCCACCUCGACACGUUUAGUUCAAUCAAUGAUGGACUGGAUUUCAGACAAUGUUAAUGGCAGCUUGAUUGUCACAUAGGACCUUGAUAGGGCUUUCAUAAGUGAUCUUCAGUUCAUUUAGGACUUGUUUCCACCAUAUACUUUCACAAACUCCGAGAGCUAAGGCUCUAUAUUGUGCCUCUGCCUUUCUGUUUCUUGCUCCGUCAAGUAACCAAAUUUCCCUUAAUAGAUAUCCUAAGAUCUGCUCUUAGUACGGUCUCCAAUCCAUUUUGCAUCAGUAUAAACUGUUAUCCUCUGAGAUUUUUUCUUGAAAUGAAUCCCUUUUCCCUGAGAACCUUUAAGGUACCUUUGAAUUCUAGUUACCAUUGCCAUAUGCUCCUCAUUUGGACAAAUGUUGACUCACGAUCUCAACAACAAACGUAAUAUCAGGACGAGUAUGAGCUAGGUGUAUAAGCUUACUUACAAGACGUUGGUAGCUAUCUUUCUCCACUGUUGGGAUGUCCCGACUCUUACUGAGCACCUUGUUUUGCUCCAUUGGUGUAUCAAUUGGCUUAUAUUCAAGCAUUACCACUUCUAACACAUACUAUUUUUCAGAGCAUAAUCUCUUUCUGAGAUCUUCAUACCUCCAUUCCUAGGAAAUAUUUUAUGUUCCUAGGUCUUUUAUCUCAAAUUCCUUUGCAUCAAGAACGUCCAAGUUACGUGGGUGUGAUCAUCAAUGAAGGUGAUAAUCCACCUUGCACCGUUAAUAUUUUGGAUUUUCAUAGGCCCCUAUAUAUCACUGUGCACAACACUGUGAUUGGUUGAUAACCAACUCCUAGAUAUACAUCAUCGAGUAUGCUUAGCAAGUUGAUACACUUCACAUUCAAAAACCUUUGAACUUUUAUUUUGAAACAAUUCUAGAAACAACUUCUCUAGACAAGAAAAACUAGGGUGUCCAAACCUAAAAUGCCACAAAGGGCUAUAUCUGAGUGUUUUCUAUGCUAGAAACAACAUUUGCACUUCUACUUUCUCCAGAGUGAUGCUCCACGUCCUCAGUGCCCUUCAUGAGAUAAGAGUACAUCACAUCCUCAGUUUCGGCUCAGCUUUCUCAACUUGGAGCACUUGAGUGAACAUCUUCUGGAGAGCUUCCAAUCGACCCUUUGACAAUUGAGUGUCAUCACCUGCUUUCAGCAUUAGCAUGACCUUAUAAGCUAGGUUAUGAGAGACCUACAUAAACUGAAAUAUAUCCUAAAUCUAAUCUUUCUAUAUUAGAUUUGGAAUUAUCUGUUACUGCUAACUAUUAUUAUACGAUAACAACUAAUAUCUUUCAACGUGUAUAUGAUCUUUUUCUCCUUUAAAAGGACUUACAAGCCAUUUAUGAAGCCUUUUCUUUUAAUAUCUCUAAUCGGUUAUGAAUUCUUAAUACUAUUCAUUUGUCACUUCUAGGUGUGUUUUGACGUAUGACAAAUUUAUUAUCAAUUACGUAUAGAUUUUCUUAUUGAUUAUAGCACUUUUUUCUGUAUUUCCAAGCUAUUGGCGGAGUAACUGGAGACCUCCUCGAGGAAAAUGCACAGGCAUUGAGUCAAAUCACGUCUAAUCUUUCAACCAUGCAGGUGACUGCUUUUGCUGUGGUAGUUUAAUUAUGUUGCAAUGUUGUUUAUGUCCAUUUAUUAUUGACAGUUAAGAUUUCUUUCUUCAAAACUAAUGGUUAUGAAUGUAUUUCUAAAGAAAAUGUAUAGAAUUCCCCUAAGGUUGAGGUUAUGCUAGACGGCCUCAGAUAUCGAGAGUUUGAAACGACUCUCCCUUAAGGGGCUGACAUGUGGAGAGCCAGAAGACUUGUGCUUGUUCUGUUUGGAAGUUAGAUUCUGUUACCAUUAUGAUGAUUAAGUUUCCUUCUUUUGCAAAUCAUUAAGUUCCCUUGUUAUGAUUAAUUUAUCAAGAUUAGUUUCCGAUGGUCUAGCUGGAGGAUUAUCAGUUAUUAAGAGUGGAGAUUGUUCGUGCAUUCAUGGUGCAGUCCCUACUGUGGCUGUUUGCUUAAUUUGUCUCUGCGAUUCUUAUAAAUAUCCUGCCUGCAGAUUUAUAUCCGUACAAGAGUUUCAAAUUAUGUAUCACAAAUAUAGCCUAAAUAGAGUCGGUUGGUUAUCUUCCUGUUUACCUAUUGUACCCCCUAGUUUCAAAGCAUUUCACUGUUAAGUGCUGACUGUCAAUACUGUCUCCGGUUUCAUUAGUUGAUAUGGAGGUUGUUGAUUAAUGGGCUAGUUAUCAAUAUGCACAUUCUAUUUGGGAUUCAGUGGAUGCCUAACAUUGCUGCUUCACUUCCAAUAUAUGUUUCCUUUUCGGCACCUUUUAGAUUUUGUUGAUGAUAUAUUCUUAUGUGCUUCAAAUGCCACCCAGCUGUGUUGAACUAGUAAUUUGACCAUGCCAAUAAAUCCUGCCUGUUUUGGCUUUGUUAUGGAAUGUGCUAUGGGUUGAAUUAGGACUGUAUUAUCAUUGCCUAUAGUUUGACUGACUUAGGACUGUAUUAUCUAAUGUAGUCUACGUUGCAGUUUUGGUCUAGUUGAGUUUCGUUUGUCAAAAAAUCCAUCAGUUCCACUCCUCUGUGUAUAUUCCCUUUUGUAGCAAGUGUUCUUAACAAGAUAACCUAACAACUAAUAGGUUUGAAUUAAUGAUAAUUCUUCAUUAGACAAGAUCGUGUCUUUGUUCUCUGUCUUAACUGGCUUAUCUUGUUGUAUGUUUUCUCGAAUUUACAUAAAAACUAUGUGGAUAGUCUUAAGCUCAACAUGCAUCGUAAGUUCUGUUGCAGCAGAUUUAGCAUCAGUAGUUGGAUCACUGUAUAUCACAAGUGCUGCUUUGGAUUUCUUUAUCUCCAUCUCAUAGGCUGUUCAUGACUUAACUGGUUCUCCUUCCUUUCUCCAGAUGCAGGAUAACAUCAACCUACUUUGCCAGACUCGUGAUAACUUCCUCAAAAUUAUGAACAAGUACACUUCAGAGUUUGCCCUUCUUUUACUCCUUAUAUCUCCUCUCAAUCUCUCUUGGUGCAAAAAUUUCUUUCGUCAAUUUCACUCUUUUGUUUCUCAGUCCCUUCUUAGGAUGCAGUGCCUGUUUAAAAGAUCACUUGUACUUCUUCUUGCUGGAAAUUUCUAAAGCUUUAUUCAGUGUGUUGUGUGAGUUUGACCUACUGCUUUUAGUAAAGCAAGCCACUCAUGUCGCCAAGGGGUGGGAUUUUGUUUGCGGUUAGUGGUUAUAACCGCAAACCUCACAGAUUAUUGUGGUUUGCGGUCAAUUGUGGUUUUCGGCAGCCAUUUUGGUCAAAUUGUGUUGGCGGUUAAACCGCAAACCGUACGGUUAACCGCAAACCAAACCACUUCCACUCGAUAAUAGCAUCAGCCUAGGAUUCUGCUCCAUGUAAAAACCAUUUCGUCCAGCGAUCCUAACUCUCACUUUCUGCUGCAGCUUCAACGACGUUCCGGAGAUAAUGAAACAGAUGCCACCACUUCCAGUUAAGUUGAACGAAGAGCUGGCGAACACCAUCCUACCCCGAACAAACAUCAACUAACCGCAGCCAAAGGAUCCGACAUGCUCGAAUGAAUUGGCUUGGAGACAAGCCCGAAUCCAUCUGUGAGUCUUGAGUCAGUGUAAAACUAAUUUGUAGUGGUUGUUUUAGUCAUAUACUUGGUUAAAGGUUUUGAAAAGUGAAAGCAGUUUUGCUUGGUAGGAAAGAGAACCUCAGAAAUGUUUUGUUGGUGUUGUAAUAGUGGAUUAUGGUUUAGAGGUAUAGACAAUAAAGCACCGUGUGAUUCUGCUGUGAAUAUGUUCAAGGGUUUUUUUUGGCUAUCCUACUGGGG